Molecule: ribosomal RNA, 722 nt
Filed under: Alcaligenes sp. PH27
Lineage: Bacteria; Pseudomonadati; Pseudomonadota; Betaproteobacteria; Burkholderiales; Alcaligenaceae
Description: bacterial SSU rRNA
Rfam family: Bacterial small subunit ribosomal RNA
Source: RNAcentral
AUGCACGAAAGCGUGGGGAGCAAACAGGAUUAGAUACCCUCGUAGUCCACGCCCUAAACGAUGUCAACUAGCUGUUGGGGCCUUCGGGCCUUGGUAGCGCAGCUAACGCGUGAAGUUGACCGCCUGGGGAGUACGGUCGCAAGAUUAAAACUCAAAGGAAUUGACGGGGACCCGCACAAGCGGUGGAUGAUGUGGAUUAAUUCGAUGCAACGCGAAAAACCUUACCUACCCUUGACAUGUCUGGAAUCCCGAAGAGAUUUGGGAGUGCUCGCAAGAGAACCGGAACACAGGUGCUGCAUGGCUGUCGUCAGCUCGUGUCCUGAGAUGUUGGGUUAAGUCCCGCAACGAGCGCAACCCUUGUCAUUAGUUGCUACGAAAGGGCACUCUAAUGAGACUGCCGGUGACAAACCGGAGGAAGGUGGGGAUGACGUCAAGUCCUCAUGGCCCUUAUGGGUAGGGCUUCACACGUCAUACAAUGGUCGGGACAGAGGGUCGCCAACCCGCGAGGGGGAGCCAAUCCCAGAAACCCGUUCGUAGUCCGGAUCGCAGUCUGCAACUCGACUGCGUGAAGUCGGAAUCGCUAGUAAUCGCGGAUCAGCAUGUCGCGGUGAAUACGUUCCCGGGUCUUGUACACACCGCCCGUCACACCAUGGGAGUGGGUUUUACCAGAAGUAGUUAGCCUAACCGUAAGGAGGGCGAUUACCACGGUAGGAUUCAUGACU